GGUAUUGAGGUCUUUUUACUUAUUAAAUGAAAUAUUUUGGUCAUUCUUCUUCUUGUGGUCUAUUUUUGUGAUCAAAACUUGAAACAAUGUCUAUUUAGGAGAAUUACCCUAUUCUAAAACUAAAUAAUAUUGUAUUUCCUAUUUAAUUAUGCAUUUUUUACUUUUAAAAUAAAUAGUUAUAUUUUUAUUUAUUGAUCAUAUUACGAUUAAUAUUAAUUCAGUUUUAAUUUUGAAAACAAAAAAAUCCAUUAUUUUAAUAAAUUAAUUAUUUUAUAGUUUAUAAAAAUC
Molecule: long non-coding RNA, 288 nt
Filed under: Brassica rapa (field mustard)
Lineage: Eukaryota; Viridiplantae; Streptophyta; Magnoliopsida; Brassicales; Brassicaceae
Description: long non-coding RNA (BRAP_LNC007821)
Source: RNAcentral